CUAAUUCCCUGAGAUGCUCAUUCUCUAUAACAGUAGGACAACUAUCAUCCUGGGAGUGGGACACAGCUAUAAGGGCCCCAAAGACCUAAUCAAUCAAUCUCUCUGCCUCUCUUAGACCUCCACGCCAGACUUAAAACUUGGACGAUGCCUUCCUAGAGCAUAUUCAAAUAUUCAAAAUGGAGAUAUAUAGUAGUCUUGGGAGACUUCAACUACCCAAAUAUCCUUUGGAAUUAAAACUCUGCCAAGAAUGUAAGGCCCAACAAUUUGCUCCCUUGUCUCGCUGACAAUUUCAUUUCCCAGAAGGUGGAAGAAGCAACAAGGGGAUCAUUUAUCUUGGAUCUGGUUCUCACCAACAGGGAGUAAAUUAUCAAUGAAGUGGAAAUACUGGGAACCUUUAGAGGAAGAGAUCGUGUCCUCUUGAGUUUAAUGAUACAGAGGCAAGGGAAAGAUUCACAGAGUUUAAUGGAAUUUACUCCGAGGUUUAGAAUAGUUGCAACUUAAGGAGCAUGUUCCAUUAAACUCAGGUUUACUUUUGAGUAAAUUUUGACUUCCCUAUGAACUUAUGCAUCUGAAAUACUCAAGUUUACUACAACAACUGGAGGUCCACAGACAGCUCAUCACACACAAAUAAGCAAAGGCAGGAUGCUAUAAGUGCUGCAAAUGUCUUCCUUGUCUCCCUCUUCACCUCUCUUGUGACAUCCAAAUACCAUUGUCUUGUCAGAACUGUCUUGUUCUGACAGCCUUUUCACCCAACAGUGGCGGGCAGUGUCUCCCACACAGUCACUCAUUCCCCCCACAAGCAAGCUCUCUAUUAGCAAGACAUGUAGAUUUAUUGCAGCAUAAGCUUCAAGUCAAGGGAUGCGGGUGGUGCUGUGGGUUAAACCACAGAGCCUAGGGCUUGCCGAUCAGAAGGUCAGCGGUUCUAAUCCCCACAACGGGGUGAGCUCCCGUUGUUCAGUCCCUGCUCCUGCCAACCUAGCAGUUCGAAAGCACGAAGUGCAAGUAGAUAAAUAGGUACCGAUCUGGCUGGAAGGUAAACGCCAUUUCUGUGUACUGCUCUGGUUCGCCAGAAGCGGCUUAGUCAUGCUGGCCACAUGUACACUGUACGCUGUACGCUGGCUCCCUCGGCCAGUAAAGCGAGAUGAGCACUGCAACCCCAGAGUCAUCCGCAACUGGACCUAACAGUCAGGGGUCCCUUUACCUUUACCUAAGCUUCAAGUCAGAUAAUGUGGACAAAAGAUUACCUCACAGUAAACCCUUAAGACUUUAAGUUGCCACAAGAUGCUUUGUUGCGUUUGGAAAAAUUCCACACUGUGGUAUCCUUUCGCUGAAAAACCAUGAUGCUACGGCAAGGUCAUGGGAAGGAGACAUAUCUUCUUCCGUGCUCCCUAUCCAUGAAAAAUCUCUUGUUUGUGGCUUGUCUCAUUGAUAAAAGGGGUUGUUCAAUAUUUUCCAGGAAAGAAAGCACCAUUUUCAUUAAGACAUUAAUAGGCUGGGGGGGGGGGGGGUUAAAAUCCAGCACUUUGCCUAAUGGAACAUGAGCACUGCAUAUGGACUCUGUGUUUACUGUGUCUUGCAUGUCAUAUUUUUCUCAAUGUACUUUUAAGAGCUAUUAUUUUCCUCGCUAUUCUGUCACUACAACAGCUUUCCUGUGACUUAAAAGAGAUGUAUUAUUUAUGCCUCAUGUAUCUUCAGCGGCAAUGACAACUAGACCAUGUACAUUUUGGCUCCCAGACUUUCCCUGGCAAGUGAAGAUAAAUUUGUGAACCUGCAUGAACACACCGGGCUUCCAUGAAAUUUAUAGAAAUUAAUAGGAACCGCCACAAAACAUUUGGAAACAGCUUUUCUAUUGUAAGAACUGAAAAUUAAUUCUGUUCUACAGCCUGAAAAUUAAAGCAGCAUAUUCCUCCA
RNAcentral lists this long non-coding RNA (1911 nucleotides) under Podarcis lilfordi (Lilford's wall lizard). Lineage: Eukaryota; Metazoa; Chordata; Lepidosauria; Squamata; Lacertidae. The record is from RNAcentral.